GGGAGGCAGCAGUGGGGAAUCUUGGACAAUGGGCGCAAGCCUGAUCCAGCCAUGCCGCGUGAGUGAUGAAGGCCUUAGGGUUGUAAAGCUCUUUUAGCAGGGAAGAAGCGAAAGUGACGGUACCUGCAGAAAAAGCACCGGCUAACUACGUGCCAGCAGCCGCGGUAAUACGUAGGGGGCAAGCGUUAUCCGGAAUUACUGGGUGUAAAGAGCUCGUAGGCGGUUUGUCGCGUCUGCUGUGAAAUCCGGAGGCUCAACCUCCGGCCUGCAGUGGGUACGGGCAGACUAGAGUGCGGUAGGGGAGAUUGGAAUUCCUGGUGUAGCGGUGGAAUGCGCAGAUAUCAGGAGGAACACCGAUGGCGAAGGCAGAUCUCUGGGCCGUAACUGUCGCUGAGGAGCGAAAGGGUGGGGAGCAAACAGGCUAAGAUACCCUCGUAGUCCACCCCGUAAAAGUUGGGAACUAGUUGU
RNAcentral lists this ribosomal RNA (468 nucleotides) under Photobacterium sanguinicancri. RNAcentral's name for it is "bacterial SSU rRNA". It matches the Rfam family "Bacterial small subunit ribosomal RNA", at positions 343 to 823 of the family's 1533-position model. Lineage: Bacteria; Pseudomonadati; Pseudomonadota; Gammaproteobacteria; Vibrionales; Vibrionaceae. The record is from RNAcentral.